UGCUUAACACAUGCAAGUCGAACGGGGAACAUUUUAUGGAAGCUUCGGUGGAAAUAGCUUGUUCCUAGUGGCGGACGGGUGAGUAACGCGUGGGUAACCUGCCUCACACUGGGGGAUAACAGUCAGAAAUGACUGCUAAUACCGCAUAAGCGCACGGGAUUGCAUGAUCCAGUGUGAAAAACUCCGGUGGUGUGAGAUGGACCCGCGUUGGAUUAGCCAGUUGGCAGGGUAACGGCCUACCAAAGCGACGAUCCAUAGCCGGCCUGAGAGGGUGGACGGCCACAUUGGGACUGAGACACGGCCCAGACUCCUACGGGAGGCAGCAGUGGGGAAUAUUGCACAAUGGGGGAAACCCUGAUGCAGCGACGCCGCGUGAAGGAAGAAGUAUCUCGGUAUGUAAACUUCUAUCAGCAGGGAAGAAAAUGACGGUACCUGACUAAGAAGCCCCGGCUAACUACGUGCCAGCAGCCGCGGUAAUACGUAGGGGGCAAGCGUUAUCCGGAUUUACUGGGUGUAAAGGGAGCGUAGACGGAGCAGCAAGUCUGAUGUGAAAGGCGGGGGCUCAACCCCCGGACUGCAUUGGAAACUGUUGAUCUUGAGUACCGGAGAGGUAAGCGGAAUUCCUAGUGUAGCGGUGAAAUGCGUAGA
This 648-nucleotide ribosomal RNA is filed under the name uncultured Lachnospiraceae bacterium. RNAcentral's name for it is "bacterial SSU rRNA". It matches the Rfam family "Bacterial small subunit ribosomal RNA", at positions 45 to 694 of the family's 1533-position model. Lineage: Bacteria; Bacillati; Bacillota; Clostridia; Lachnospirales; Lachnospiraceae. The record is from RNAcentral.